GAUGAACGCUGGCGGUGUGCCUAAUACAUGCAAGUCGUACGCAUUCUCGUUUCUGAUUGACGGUGCUUGCACCUAAUUGACGAGACAUUGGAAUGAGUGGCGGACGGGUGAGUAACACGUGGGUAACCUGCCCAGAAGCGGGGGAUAACAUUUGGAAACAGAUGCUAAUACCGCAUAAAAGUCAAAACCACAUGGUUUUGAUUUAAAAGAUGGCCUUUGUGCUAUCACUUCUGGAUGGACCCGCGGCGUAUUAGCUAGUUGGUAAGGUAAUGGCGUACAAAGGCAAUGAUACGUAGCCGAACUGAGAGGUUAAUCGGCCACAUGGGACUGAGACACGGCCCAUACUCCUACGGGAGGCAGCAGUAGGGAAUCUUCCACAAUGGGCGCAAGCCUGAUGGAGCAACACCGCGUGAGUGAAGAAGGGUUUCGGCUCGUAAAACUCUGUUGUUAAAGAAGAACGUAUCUAAGAGUAACUGCUUAGGUAGUGACGGUAUUUAACCAGAAAGCCACGGCUAACUACGUGCCAGCCGCCGCGGUAA
Molecule: ribosomal RNA, 539 nt
Filed under: uncultured bacterium
Lineage: Bacteria
Description: partial 16S ribosomal RNA
Rfam family: Bacterial small subunit ribosomal RNA
Source: RNAcentral